CACGUAGGCGGAUUGGAAAGUUGGAGGUGAAAUCCCAGGGCUCAACCUUGGAACUGCCUUCAAAACUCCCAGUCUUGAGGUCGAGAGAGGUAAGUGGAAUUCCGAGUGUAGAGGUGAAAUUCGUAGAUAUUCGGAGGAACACCAGUGGCGAAGGCGGCUUACUGGCUCGAUACUGACGCUGAGGUGCGAAAGCGUGGGGAGCAAAACG
This 208-nucleotide ribosomal RNA is filed under the name uncultured bacterium. Its description in RNAcentral is "partial 16S ribosomal RNA". It matches the Rfam family "Bacterial small subunit ribosomal RNA", at positions 568 to 775 of the family's 1533-position model. The record is from RNAcentral.